GCAAGGCCACCUUCCUAUUGGUGACAGCAGGGAUCUAUCAGUUAGAUGACCUCAUUAAUGUUGACCAGGAAGGACUGUCAAAUAUGGAAGACCAAGCAUGAGCAAAGGAACUGCACCGAGACCAUGCGAUGAGGAGACUGAGACACAGAGAGGC
Balaenoptera ricei (Rice's whale) is the source of this 154-nucleotide long non-coding RNA. RefSeq lists it as uncharacterized. NCBI's taxonomy places the organism in Eukaryota, Metazoa, Chordata, Mammalia, Artiodactyla, Balaenopteridae. The transcript has 3 exons. The record is from RefSeq and is a predicted model, not a curated record.